GUGUUGGUAGAAAGGAGAGAUGAUUGGCAUCUCCCAGACAGGGACGGUAACAUCUUUUGAGCUUUACCUGUUGUCAGGCAAAAGGGCAUGACAUUUGAUGUAUGGCUCGAUAGAGACCAAAUAAUAGACGAGGAUAUUUU
Small nuclear RNA from Nicotiana attenuata, 140 nucleotides. The record is from Rfam. NCBI's taxonomy places the organism in Eukaryota, Viridiplantae, Streptophyta, Magnoliopsida, Solanales, Solanaceae.